RNAcentral lists this ribosomal RNA (565 nucleotides) under uncultured Bacteroidota bacterium. RNAcentral describes it as "bacterial SSU rRNA". It matches the Rfam family "Bacterial small subunit ribosomal RNA", at positions 1 to 554 of the family's 1533-position model. The record is from RNAcentral. Lineage: Bacteria; Pseudomonadati; Bacteroidota.
GGAUCCAGACUUUGAUUCUGGCUCAGGAUGAACGCUAGCUACAGGCUUAACACAUGCAAGUCGAGGGGAAACGACAUCGAAAGCUUGCUUUUGAUGGGCGUCGACCGGCGCACGGGUGAGUAACGCGUAUCCAACCUGCCCAUCACUUGGGGAUAACCUUGCGAAAGUAAGACUAAUACCCAAUGACGUCUCUAGAAGACAUCUGAAAGAGAUUAAAGAUUUAUCGGUGAUGGAUGGGGAUGCGUCUGAUUAGCUUGUUGGCGGGGUAGCGGCCCACCAAGGCAACGAUCAGUAGGGGUUCUGAGAGGAAGGUCCCCCACAUUGGAACUGAGACACGGUCCAAACUCCUACGGGAGGCAGCAGUGAGGAAUAUUGGUCAAUGGGCGAGAGCCUGAACCAGCCAAGUAGCGUGCAGGAUGACGGCCCUAUGGGUUGUAAACUGCUUUUAUAAGGGAAUAAAGUGAGUCUCGUGAGACUUUUUGCAUGUACCUUAUGAAUAAGGACCGGCUAAUUCCGUGCCAGCAGCCGCGGUAAUACGGAAGGUCCGGGCGUUAUCCGGAUUUAU